This 497-nucleotide ribosomal RNA is filed under the name uncultured bacterium. Its description in RNAcentral is "partial 16S ribosomal RNA". It matches the Rfam family "Bacterial small subunit ribosomal RNA", at positions 28 to 507 of the family's 1533-position model. The record is from RNAcentral.
GAUGAACGCUGGCGGCGUGCCUAAUACAUGCAAGUCGAGCGAACAGAUAAGGAGCUUGCUCCUUUGACGUUAGCGGCGGACGGGUGAGUAACACGUGGGUAACCUACCUAUAAGACUGGGAUAACUUCGGGAAACCGGAGCUAAUACCGGAUAACAUUUGGAACCGCAUGGUUCUAAAGUGAAAGAUGGUUUUGCUAUCACUUAUAGAUGGACCCGCGCCGUAUUAGCUAGUUGGCAAGGUAACGGCUUACCAAGGCAACGAUACGUAGCCGACCUGAGAGGGUGAUCGGCCACACUGGAACUGAGACACGGUCCAGACUCCUACGGGGGGCAGCAGUAGGGAAUCUUCCGCAAUGGGCGAAAGCCUGACGGAGCAACGCCGCGUGAGUGAUGAAGGGUUUCGGCUCGUAAAACUCUGUUAUUAGGGAAGAACAAAUGUGUAAGUAACUGUGCACGUCUUGACGGUACCUAAUCAGAAAGCCACGGCUAACUACGUG